Molecule: ribosomal RNA, 348 nt
Filed under: uncultured bacterium
Lineage: Bacteria
Description: partial 16S ribosomal RNA
Rfam family: Bacterial small subunit ribosomal RNA
Source: RNAcentral
CCUACGGGUGGCAGCAGUGAGGAAUAUUGGUCAAUGGCCGAGAGGCUGAACCAGCCAAGUCGCGUGAGGGAAGACGGCCCUACGGGUUGUAAACCUCUUUUGUCGGGGAGCAAAGCGAACCACGUGUGGGUCAGUGAGAGUACCCGAAGAAAAAGGAUCGGCUAACUCCGUGCCAGCAGCCGCGGUAAUACGGAGGAUGCGAGCGUUAUCCGGAUUUAGUGGGUUUAAAGGGGGCGCAGGCGGAGGUGCAAGUCAGCGGUCAAAUUGCGGGGCUCAACCCCGUACUGCCGUUGAAACUGCCUCCCUUGAGUGCGCGCGACGUCUGCGGAAUGCGUGUUGUAGCGGUUA